GCUGUGGACUGUCGGGAGGUGAAGCGGUGGACGGGGGUGCGGCCCUUGAGGAGGGGGUCGGAAUCGGAGGAAACGAGGGUUUGGUGGGUGAAGGCGACGAGGAGGCAAAGGAUGAGGAGGUAGAGCUGGAGAUGGCGGAGGAGGCGGUGGGCGCCGUUGGGGAGAGGGUGGUAAGGUCUGGCGGUGUAAUCUCGGGGAGACUUGAGGUGGUUCUUGGUGGUGCAGAUGAGAUGGUAGAGUCCCAAGGAGAGCAGAGCUGAGGAUGAGAACACGAGGUAGAGUAGACCUGCCAUCGUCGAUGAUGUGAUUUGGGCCUGCCCCUUCUUCUUCGGAUCCUCUCCCC
This 343-nucleotide long non-coding RNA is filed under the name Coffea arabica (coffee). RNAcentral describes it as "long non-coding RNA (CARA_LNC002227)". Lineage: Eukaryota; Viridiplantae; Streptophyta; Magnoliopsida; Gentianales; Rubiaceae. The record is from RNAcentral.